This 476-nucleotide long non-coding RNA is filed under the name Nicotiana benthamiana. RNAcentral describes it as "long non-coding RNA (NBEN_LNC030162)". Lineage: Eukaryota; Viridiplantae; Streptophyta; Magnoliopsida; Solanales; Solanaceae. The record is from RNAcentral.
UUUUCAAUUUUCUAUAGUAAAACAAACUUUGAUUACAAUGAUUCAAAAACUGACAAACUUAAACAAAACUAACAGACAUUGAUGAAAAGACGAGAUACAAACUCGAACAUUAAACAACCCGCAUACUCUAAUAAGAAAAAUACAAACUCAAGAACCAACUGACAGAUUCUUUUCCCUAAGUGCCAAUUUUAACCAAAUGGCUAUUUUUGCAAACGUGGCACCUUCCCAAUUUCACCUGAAUUUUGAGGCCGGGGAGGAUUAUUAUAUGAAACUUCACAAACUUGUCCGUUCUUUUAUGAAAAUUUUCUUUCGACAACUAAAAGAUACUCUAAGGCUAUCACAGCAAGAACGGUUUAAAACGUCGUCGAAGCUGGAUCAGCUUAUUUUGACAAAAAUCCAAACGGUAUUCAGUUGACCAAUGACUCUUUUUAUUGUUUUUUUUUUAAAUUAAAAUAGAAGACUUGGUUUUGUAAAUG